Molecule: long non-coding RNA, 203 nt
Filed under: Pelobates cultripes (western spadefoot toad)
Lineage: Eukaryota; Metazoa; Chordata; Amphibia; Anura; Pelobatidae
Source: RNAcentral
AUGGUGGCCACCCAGUAACUCCACAGUUUGUCUGGUAGUCUAUCCAGCCGGACCAACAGAUGAAACACAUGGAGAACAGUGCAACAAACGAAUGGAAUCAUAAAAAAUAUGGACAAUAGUCAUUUGUGCACAAUCUCCAGUUUUGUCACAGGGCACAAAUAGUGUUUUCAAAUGCCAUAUAUCCCAGGGCCAUAGUCAGAAGG